Long non-coding RNA from Pan troglodytes (chimpanzee), 236 nucleotides. RefSeq lists it as uncharacterized. NCBI's taxonomy places the organism in Eukaryota, Metazoa, Chordata, Mammalia, Primates, Hominidae. The record is from RefSeq and is a predicted model, not a curated record. The transcript has 2 exons.
GUUCCAGUUCAAUGAUUAAAAGAACCACAGAUGACCAGGCACGGUGGCUCACGCCUGUAAUCCCAGCACUUUGGGAGCCCGAGAGACGGAGUUUCACCAUGUUAGCCAGGAUGGUCUCGAUCUUCUGACCUCGUGAUCCGCCCGCCUUGGCCUCCCAAAGUGCUGGGAUUACAGACGUGAGCCACUGCGCCCGGCCAAAACCCUGCUUUUAAUAAAGUGUGAAAUGGUAAAAAGAA